AAAUUGAAGAGUUUGAUCAUGGCUCAGAUUGAACGCUGGCGGCAGGCCUAACACAUGCAAGUCGAACGGUAGCACAGAGAGCUUGCUCUCGGGUGACGAGUGGCGGACGGGUGAGUAAU
Molecule: ribosomal RNA, 119 nt
Filed under: Salmonella enterica
Lineage: Bacteria; Pseudomonadati; Pseudomonadota; Gammaproteobacteria; Enterobacterales; Enterobacteriaceae
Also listed under: 3 other names
Description: partial 16S ribosomal RNA
Rfam family: Bacterial small subunit ribosomal RNA
Source: RNAcentral